AGCGAACGCUGGCGGCAGGCUUAACACAUGCAAGUCGAGCGGGCCCUUCGGGGUCAGCGGCAGACGGGUGAGUAACACGUGGGAACGUACCCUUUGGUUCGGAAUAACGCUGGGAAACUACCGCUAAUACCGGAUACGCCCUUUUGGGGAAAGGCUUGCUGCCGAAGGAUCGGCCCGCGUCUGAUUAGCUAGUUGGUGGGGUAAUGGCCUACCAAGGCGACGAUCAGUAGCUGGUCUGAGAGGAUGAUCAGCCACACUGGGACUGAGACACGGCCCAGACUCCUACGGGAGGCAGCAGUGGGGAAUAUUGGACAAUGGGCGCAAGCCUGAUCCAGCCAUGCCGCGUGAGUGAUGAAGGCCUUAGGGUUGUAAAGCUCUUUUGUCCGGGACGAUAAUGACGGUACCGGAAGAAUAAGCCCCGGCUAACUUCGUG
RNAcentral lists this ribosomal RNA (433 nucleotides) under uncultured bacterium. Its description in RNAcentral is "partial 16S ribosomal RNA". It matches the Rfam family "Bacterial small subunit ribosomal RNA", at positions 29 to 507 of the family's 1533-position model. The record is from RNAcentral.